Molecule: long non-coding RNA, 824 nt
Filed under: Gossypium raimondii (Peruvian cotton)
Lineage: Eukaryota; Viridiplantae; Streptophyta; Magnoliopsida; Malvales; Malvaceae
Description: long non-coding RNA (GRAI_LNC010818)
Source: RNAcentral
GUGUUAAAUGAAGAUAGUAAUACCUCAAUUUUACCCGGCUUACAUGAAGAAAAUAAAGAAGUCCAAAUUACAAGUGGGCCUAUAUGGCCCAAACUGAAAUAAAAUACAGUGGCCCAAAACAAAAUCAGAAACCCUACGGUUUCUCAAGAUCAACAGCGCCGCAACCAUACCCCUAAUCUCCGCGCGAUCUUCAUACCUGCACAACAAGGAAGGAAACAAAACAGAAUACGACAAGAAAAAUCUUUGAAAUCACGAAUCAAGCAAGAUAUCAGAGGAUUUUGUUUACUUUUCUUGUUUCAUUAUUUGCUAUAAAAGCAAACUAAACACACUGUAAUAUGGAUGGGGAUUUUGAAAAAAUCAAUAAAAAGAGCAAGCAUUUUCACAGCAUAAAUGGAGCAAAAAUCGAUAAAAGGUGGUUACUUGUAAUUCUUUUUAUUUAUUUUCUUUACUGUUAUAGUUAUUUUUUUACAAAUAAAUAAGAUUAAAAAGGGAAAAAGGGAAAAGAAACAACCUUUUUAUUUCUGAAACGAGAACGAGGCGGUAGAGGGAGCCUCCCCCGAGGAUCGGUGGCCGGAAACUGAAAGGUUUCGUGCCUGCUUUGAGGAUUUUCAUUGAUAUUUUGGUGUUUUUGAGCCCGGAUUUGGGUUUAGAAAGGUCGAGAAGGCCAAACCAGGGAUUUUCCCCUUUUUCGGCCACCGCAAGCGGCGGUGCCAGUGCUGGAGAUCGGCGGCUGGCGCGGUGGCCGACGACCGGCCGAUGACCGCCGAUGACCGACCGAUGGCCGGAGGAUAGAGGAGGUUGAGAGCUUUUUUGAAGGGAUUUUC